RNAcentral lists this ribosomal RNA (329 nucleotides) under uncultured eukaryote. RNAcentral describes it as "partial 18S ribosomal RNA". It matches the Rfam family "Eukaryotic small subunit ribosomal RNA", at positions 1470 to 1796 of the family's 1831-position model. The record is from RNAcentral.
CCCUUAGAUGUCCUGGGCCGCACGCGCGCUACACUGAGUGUCUGAGAUACGAGUCUGCCUGGUCCGGCAAGGUCUAGGUAAUCGCUAAAAGACACAUCAUGCUUGGGAUAGAUUAUAGCAAAUAUUAAUCUUGAACGAGGAAUUCCUAGUAAGCGCAAGUCAACAGCUUGCGUUGAUUACGUCCCUGCCCUUUGUACACACCGCCCGUCGCUACUACUGAUUGGAUGUUUAAGCGAGGUUCUCGAACUGCUAGCGACUUAGCUUCGGUGAGGUCGCAGUGUGGGAAGUGAACCUAGCUUUGGUGUCUAGAGGAAGUAAAAGUCGUAACA